Non-coding RNA from Callorhinus ursinus (northern fur seal), 432 nucleotides. The record is from RefSeq and is a predicted model, not a curated record. Lineage: Eukaryota; Metazoa; Chordata; Mammalia; Carnivora; Otariidae.
GACAUUCAAAAAUCAAUAAUGUAAUUCACCACAUCCACAAAUUAAAGAAUACAAAUCAUAUAAUCAUAUUAACAGAUGCAGAAAAAGCAUUUGAUAAAAUGCACCUUAAUGUUCAUUCUUUGCACUACAAUGUUCAACGGGUUUUUUUUAAGAGAUUUUCUUUAUUUGCCAGAGAGAGAGAGCAAGAGCAGGGGGAGCGGCAGGCAGAGGGAGAAGCAGGCCGACACGGGACUUGAUUCCAGGACCCCGGGAUCGUGACCUGAGCCGAAGGCAGAUGUUUAACCAACUGAGCCACCCAGUCCCGCGUUAUGAGAGACAGUAUCCUGGAUGAGGGCAAAAACCCCACUGGUCAGAGGACAGCCCACCAGGCUCAUCACUUGUGUGCCAAGGUAGGCACCAGAACUCUCACCAAUAAAGAUGAAAUAAAAAACA